GUGGGGAAUAUUGCACAAUGGGCGCAAGCCUGAUGCAGCAACGCCGCGUGAGGGAUGACGGCCUUCGGGUUGUAAACCUCUUUUGUCAGGGAAGAAGCCCUUUGGGGUGACGGUACUUGGAGAAAAAGCUCCGGCUAACUACGUGCCAGCAGCCGCGGUAAUACGUAGGGAGCGAGCGUUGUCCGGAAUUAUUGGGCGUAAAGAGCUCGUAGGCGGCUUGUCGCGUCUGUCGUGAAAUCCUCAGGCUCAACCUGGGGCUUGCGGUGGGUACGGGCAGGCUAGAGUGCGGUAGGGGAGAUUGGAAUUCCUGGUGUAGCGGUGGAAUGCGCAGAUAUCAGGAGGAACACCGAUGGCGAAGGCAGAUCUCUGGGCCGUGACUGACGCUGAGGAGCGAAAGCAUGGGGAGCGAACAGGAUUAGAAACCCUAGUAGUCC
This 434-nucleotide ribosomal RNA is filed under the name uncultured bacterium. RNAcentral describes it as "bacterial SSU rRNA". It matches the Rfam family "Bacterial small subunit ribosomal RNA", at positions 354 to 796 of the family's 1533-position model. The record is from RNAcentral.